Molecule: transfer RNA, 64 nt
Filed under: Atkinsoniella heiyuana
Lineage: Eukaryota; Metazoa; Arthropoda; Insecta; Hemiptera; Cicadellidae
Description: tRNA-Arg
Source: RNAcentral
AACAAAGAAGUAAAUUUUACUUUUAGUUUCGACCUAAAUAUAAAGGUAUUGAUCCUUCAUGUUU